GACGAAGGGGGCUAGCGUUGUUCGGAAUUACUGGGCGUAAAGCGCGUGUAGGCGGUUGUUCAAGUCAGGUGUGAAAGCCUUGAGCUCAACUCAAGAAAUGCACUUGAUACUGGAUGACUAGAGGACCGGAGAGGAUAGUGGAAUUCCCAGUGUAGUGGUGAAAUACGUAGAGAUCGGGAAGAACACCCGUGGCGAAGGCGACGUGCUGGGCUGAACCUGACGCUGAGAUGCGAAAGUGUGGGGAGCAAACGGG
Molecule: ribosomal RNA, 253 nt
Filed under: uncultured bacterium
Lineage: Bacteria
Description: partial 16S ribosomal RNA
Rfam family: Bacterial small subunit ribosomal RNA
Source: RNAcentral